This 330-nucleotide ribosomal RNA is filed under the name uncultured bacterium. RNAcentral describes it as "bacterial SSU rRNA". It matches the Rfam family "Bacterial small subunit ribosomal RNA", at positions 568 to 898 of the family's 1533-position model. The record is from RNAcentral.
CGCGUAGGUGGUAGUGCAAAGUCUGGGGUGGAAUCCUAUGGCUUAACCAUAGAAUUGCCUUGGAAACUGUAUUACUUGAGUCAGUGAGGGGAGGGUAGAAUUCCUGGUGUAGCGGUGAAAUGCGUAGAUAUCAGGAGGAAGGCCUGUGGCGAAGGCGGCCCUCUGGCGCUGAACUGACACUGAGGCGCGAAAGCGUGGGGAGCAAACAGGAUUAGAUACCCUGGUAGUCCACGCCCUAAACGGUGGGCACUAGGUGUAGGGCUCGUAAGGGUUCUGUGCCGAAGCGAAAGCAUUAAGUGCCCCGCUGGGGAGUACGGCCGCAAGGUUGAA